UGGGGAAUAUUGCACAAUGGGCGAAAGCCUGAUGCAGCAACGCCGCGUGAGUGAUGAAGGCCUUCGGGUUGUAAAGCUCUGUCUUUUGGGACGAUAAUGACGGUACCAAAGGAGGAAGCCACGGCUAACUACGUGCCAGCAGCCGCGGUAAUACGUAGGUGGCAAGCGUUGUCCGGAUUUACUGGGCGUAAAGGAUGCGUAGGCGGAUUUUUAAGUGAGAUGUGAAAACCCUAAGCUUAACUUGGGGACUGCAUUUCAUACUGGAAAUCUAGAGUGCGGGAGAGGAGAAUGGAAUUCCUAGUGUAGCGGUGAAAUGCGUAGAGAUUAGGAAGAACACCAGUGGCGAAGGCGAUUCUCUGGACCGUAACUGACGCUGAGGCAUGAAAGCGUGGGUAGCAAACAGGAUUAGAUACCCUGGUAGUCCACGCCGUAAACGAUGAGUACUAGGUGUAGGAGGUAUCGACCCCUUCUGCGCCGCAGUUAACACAAUAAGUACUCCGCCUGGGAAGUACGAUCGCAAGAUUAAAACUCAAAUGAAUUGACGGGGUCAUAGCUGUUUUCCU
This 563-nucleotide ribosomal RNA is filed under the name uncultured bacterium. RNAcentral's name for it is "partial 16S ribosomal RNA". It matches the Rfam family "Bacterial small subunit ribosomal RNA", at positions 355 to 1375 of the family's 1533-position model. The record is from RNAcentral.